UGGGGAAUCUUGGACAAUGGGGGCAACCCUGAUCCAGCGAUGCCGCGUGGGUGAAGAAGGCCUUCGGGUUGUAAAGCCCUUUAGGUUGGGAAGAAGGUGGUUGAGGGAUAAUCUCGAUCAUUUGACGGUACCAACAGAAUAAGCACCGGCAAACUCUGUGCCAGCAGCCGCGGUAAUACAGAGGGUGCAAGCGUUAAUCGGAGUUACUGGGCGUAAAGGGCGCGUAGGCGGUGAGAUGAGUGGAAUGUGAAAGCCCCGGGCUUAACCUGGGAAGCGCAUACCAAACGAUCUGACUGGAGUAUGGUAGAGGGUGGCGGAAUUUCCGGUGUAGCGGUGAAAUGCGUAGAGAUCGGAAGGAACGUCAAUGGCGAAGGCAGCCACCUGGACCAAUACUGACGCUGAGGCGCGAAAGCGUGGGUAGCGAACAGG
This 429-nucleotide ribosomal RNA is filed under the name uncultured bacterium. Its description in RNAcentral is "bacterial SSU rRNA". It matches the Rfam family "Bacterial small subunit ribosomal RNA", at positions 355 to 776 of the family's 1533-position model. The record is from RNAcentral.